Molecule: ribosomal RNA, 539 nt
Filed under: Bifidobacterium longum subsp. infantis
Lineage: Bacteria; Bacillati; Actinomycetota; Actinomycetes; Bifidobacteriales; Bifidobacteriaceae
Description: bacterial SSU rRNA
Rfam family: Bacterial small subunit ribosomal RNA
Source: RNAcentral
UCUCCUGGGAAAGGGUGGUAAUGCCGGAUGCUCCAGUUGAUCGCAUGGUCUUCUGGGAAAGCUUUCGCGGUAUGGGAUGGGGUCGCGUCCUAUCAGCUUGACGGCGGGGUAACGGCCCACCGUGGCUUCGACGGGUAGCCGGCCUGAGAGGGCGACCGGCCACAUUGGGACUGAGAUACGGCCCAGACUCCUACGGGAGGCAGCAGUGGGGAAUAUUGCACAAUGGGCGCAAGCCUGAUGCAGCGACGCCGCGUGAGGGAUGGAGGCCUUCGGGUUGUAAACCUCUUUUAUCGGGGAGCAAGCGAGAGUGAGUUUACCCGUUGAAUAAGCACCGGCUAACUACGUGCCAGCAGCCGCGGUAAUACGUAGGGUGCAAGCGUUAUCCGGAAUUAUUGGGCGUAAAGGGCUCGUAGGCGGUUCGUCGCGUCCGGUGUGAAAGUCCAUCGCUUAACGGUGGAUCCGCGCCGGGUACGGGCGGGCUUGAGUGCGGUAGGGGAGACUGGAAUUCCCGGUGUAACGGUGGAAUGUGUAGAUAUCGG